GGAAGGACACUGUGUGUCGUGUGAAUAGCGGGGUAGCCAAGAUAAACAUGGGUAGAGUGCUGGGAAAGUGGUCGUUGAACUAAUACAAACCUCACUUUGCUGGCAUGGCUAGGAUGUUGACUGAGAGAGUCUGACGAUUCUGCAGUGCCGGCCGUUACGGACAAACGUGCGAUGAGCUGUGUAAUGGUAACUGUAAGAACAAUGAGACAUGUGACAACUACAGUGGCAAGUGCUGGAGUGGAUGUAAAGAUGGCCUUUAUGGAGACAUCUGCAACCAGACGUGUGGUCAUUGCAGGAACAUCGCCUGUGAGCAAACAAGUGGAAAAUGUCUGUCCGGAUGUUUGGAAGGCUGGAAGGGAACACUGUGCAAUACUUGUACGUUCAAAUCAAUAUGGUGGUACUAACACUGUAAUGAGUUCAAUCCUAGCAUUGCUAAGAUGAGAUAUGAAUAUAGUUAUUCUCAGAAUGAUUUGAUUGCUUCCACCUAGACACCUGAAGGAUAUAGGCAGAAAGACACAGGCUAGCCCUCUCCCUCCUGCUUAGCGGGGGAGCGGGUAUGAAGGCAUUGAAAGAAUCGAAAUUUGCAGUACAUGUACCCGUAAUCUCACUCUUUACCUGUGCUGUGCUUUGACCUAGUGAGCGAUUCUUUUGGAAAAGAUCCAACAAAUGGAGUGUGCACACCCAACCCUGGUAUAACACCUCGCGACCAUUGACCAAGAAUGUCAAGAUCUCUUUUAUCUGUGUAUGAGUCACCAACAGAGAGACACUAACAUUCAAAAAUAAAAAAUGUCGUUGAAUUGUUGAAUCCUCUGUCAGACUGUCGCUACAACUGAGCACUGCCAGAACUGGUAUUCCGUAUCACUUUUCGUCCUUGAGAAAUGAUGCCACCCCUGUCUUUGUUUCACUCCUCUAGCUCUCAAUUUCAAUACACACUCCACACACUUUUAACAUACAUUUAUCGUCGUCUCCCUGUCCAACUCAUUUCUGAUCUGUUUCUUUGUUUAUCGAAGGCUGAUGAUGACCACUACUGCGCAAAUAAUGAUAAUAAAUUUUAAAUAAAAUAAAGUAAAUGUUUGUGUCGGUGGUGAAGUGUUUGGAGAUGGCUGAUGAGGCCAGUUCGUAGUAACAGUCUCCCACAUGAUAAGCACACACACAUACAACAUAUCUCUUGCCGAUCCUCCGUCGUAGUAAUGAAACAGUCAAUGAGAUGUCAGUGCUUGGAGCAGGGAUGUGAAUGAGUAGGCCAAACAUGGUGUCGGUGAUGACCAGUUCAUGCAAUUCAGUGUAAGUGUCUUCAGUGUCUUCAACAGCAAGAGACCAUCACCGUUACA
Molecule: unclassified non-coding RNA, 1331 nt
Filed under: Pomacea canaliculata
Lineage: Eukaryota; Metazoa; Mollusca; Gastropoda; Architaenioglossa; Ampullariidae
Description: multiple epidermal growth factor-like domains protein 10, transcript variant X2
Source: RNAcentral